Molecule: non-coding RNA, 67 nt
Organism: Podarcis lilfordi (Lilford's wall lizard)
Lineage: Eukaryota; Metazoa; Chordata; Lepidosauria; Squamata; Lacertidae
Source: the annotation of a GenBank genome assembly
GAGUUCAGUUGAUUAGAGCGUGGUGCUCAUAAUGCCAAGGUUGCAGGUUCGAUCCCUGCAUGGGACA